UCGCGGCUUAUCACCGGCAGUCCCCUUAGAGUGCCCAACUGAAUGAUGGCAACUAAGGGCGAGGGUUGCGCUCGUUGCGGGACUUAACCCAGCAUCUCACGACACGAGCUGACGACAGCCAUGCAGCACCUGUGUUCCCGCCAGCCGAACUGAAGGAUCCCAUCUCUGAAAUCCACACGGGACAUGUCAAGGGCUGGUAAGGUUCUGCGCGUUGCUUCGAAUUAAACCACAUGCUCCACCGCUUGUGCAGGCCCCCGUCAAUUUCUUUGAGUUUUAACCUUGCGGCCGUACUCCCCAGGCGGAUGACUUAAUGCGUUAGCUGCGCCACCGAAAGCCUAAGGCCCCCGACAGCUAGUCAUCAUCGUUUACGGCGUGGACUAC
Molecule: unclassified non-coding RNA, 381 nt
Filed under: uncultured Alphaproteobacteria bacterium
Lineage: Bacteria; Pseudomonadati; Pseudomonadota; Alphaproteobacteria
Description: contains 16S-23S intergenic spacer region
Source: RNAcentral